Molecule: ribosomal RNA, 229 nt
Filed under: uncultured bacterium
Lineage: Bacteria
Description: partial 16S ribosomal RNA
Rfam family: Bacterial small subunit ribosomal RNA
Source: RNAcentral
CGUGUAGGUGGUUAGACAAGUCAGGUGUUAAAACUAGAAGCUCAACUUCUAGUCGCCCCUGAAACUGUUUAGCUUCGAGUUUGGGAGAGGAUAGUGGAACUCAUAGUGUAGCGGUGAAAUGCGUAGAUAUUAUGAGGAACACCAGUGGCGAAGGCGACUAUCUGGACCAAUACUGACACUGAGACGCGAAAGCAUGGGGAGCAAACAGGAUUAGAUACCCUGGUAGUCC